UCGAUUAGUUUGAUCAUGGCUCAGGAUGAACGCUGGCGGCGUGCUUAACACAUGCAAGUCACGGGGGCCAGCAAUGGCAACCGGCGAACGGGUGCGUAACACGUGAGCAACCUACCGAAAUGAGGGGGAUAGCCGGCCCAACGGCCGGGUAAUACCGCAUACGCUCGAGACCAGGCAUUUGGACUCGAGGAAACCUCCGGGGCAUUUCGAGGGGCUCGCGGCCUAUCAGCUAGUUGGUGAGGUAACGGCUCACCAAGGCGACGACGGGUAGCUGGUCUGAGAGGAUGGCCAGCCACAUUGGGACUGAGAUACGGCCCAGACUCCUACGGGAGGCAGCAGUGGGGAAUCUUGCGCAAUGGCCUAACGGCUGACGCAGCGACGCCGCGUGAGGGAUGACGCUCUUCGGAGUGUAAACCUCUUUUGCCUGAGACGAAUUGUCAGCUUUAGCUGAUUUGACUGUAUCGGGUGAAUAAGCACCGGCUAACUCCGUGCCAGCAGCCGCGGUAAUACGGGGGGUGCGAGCGUUGUCCGGAAUCACUGGGCGUAAAGGGCGCGUAGGUGGCCUGAUAAGGGUGUGGUGAAAGUCCGGGGCUCAACCCCGGAUCUGCCGUGCCGACUGUUAGGCUAGAGUACUGUAGGGGCAGGCGGAAUUCCGGGUGUAGCGGUGGAAUGCGUAGAGAUCCGGANGAAGACCGGUGGCGAAGGCGGCCUGCUGGGCUG
This 720-nucleotide ribosomal RNA is filed under the name uncultured bacterium. RNAcentral's name for it is "bacterial SSU rRNA". It matches the Rfam family "Bacterial small subunit ribosomal RNA", at positions 1 to 736 of the family's 1533-position model. The record is from RNAcentral.